RNAcentral lists this ribosomal RNA (147 nucleotides) under Phoenicurus ochruros (black redstart). Its description in RNAcentral is "partial 12S ribosomal RNA". Lineage: Eukaryota; Metazoa; Chordata; Aves; Passeriformes; Muscicapidae. The record is from RNAcentral.
CAAACUGGGAUUAGAUACCCCACUAUGCCUGGCCCUAAAUCUUGAUGUUCCACCUUACCUGAACAUCCGCCCGAGAACUACGAGCACAAACGCUUAAAACUCUAAGGACUUGGCGGUGCCCCAAACCCACCUAGAGGAGCCUGUUCU